This 85-nucleotide transfer RNA is filed under the name Friedmanniomyces endolithicus. RNAcentral describes it as "tRNA-Pro". The record is from RNAcentral. Lineage: Eukaryota; Fungi; Ascomycota; Dothideomycetes; Mycosphaerellales; Teratosphaeriaceae.
GGCUUCAUGGUCUAGUGGUAUGAUUCUUGCUUUGGGCUACCUCCUCAUCUGCAAGAGGCCCCGCGUUCGAAUCGCGGUGGAGCCC